AGGUCUGAUAGUCUAUCUUUUCAGUGCUCUUGGAAACCCUGGAAUAUAGUCUAUCAGAUCUGG
Molecule: microRNA precursor, 63 nt
Organism: Monodelphis domestica (gray short-tailed opossum)
Lineage: Eukaryota; Metazoa; Chordata; Mammalia; Didelphimorphia; Didelphidae
Product: mdo-mir-7385f
Source: Ensembl